ACAGCACAGGUUAAGGAUUACAUUAUUUAAAUGUGUACCAAGAAAAAAAAAGGCAGCAAGUAAGUUAAUGAAAAGAUAUAUGGAAGUACAAUGGGCAAAGGAAAAAUAGGAAUAGACAAUGCUAAAAAUCCGUGUAUGUGCAAUAGAAGAGGCACACAGAACAUGAAUGCGGGUCUGAGGUCGCCUAUCACUAGAAUUCCACCUUCUGAUCACACAAUUCCAUCGAGAAACUGUACGGUUAAGGGAAAGAUUCAGGUCACCUGAAGAUGACGUUGGUACCCCAAAGCUUAGCAGAGCUUGAAAAUCAAAAGAAAUAAAAACCAAUUAAAUGGAACGGGUUACAGCAAUGCCAGUUGAGCAAUUUGCAGCUUUUCUCCCCUUGGAAUGUUUCCUAAUUGAGGGUGUUUCCCUUUCGAUUUUCCUGGCCAGCAAAUGAAAUCGGGAGUCGAGGGCGCACCUUGGCAGCGGGAGGUCAGGAGAGCGCCACCAGCCUGCUCCUCCUGGGGGCCUUCCGCUCGCCUGCGGAGGAUCCAGCCGUACUGAAGCGCCGCGUGGUGGGAGCUGUGGUGAAGCUCAGACAAGCUUCUUCUGAAGGUGUCUCCCUGCUUUGCUUUCCCAAGAGCUCCUGAUGGCUCAGCCCCGUCGUCUGGCCGGAUUCUGCCUGCCCGGCUUCUGGAGAGAAGGGCGUGGGUGUCCCUGCAGCGGGGUAUUCCGCCCCCGCCCCGGCUCACUGCGCUUCCCACGUGUCAGUUCCCUAGGCCCCAGCCGCUUGGCCUUCAGGAUCUUGUUCACGUGGUCCAGGUUCUUCUUGGUGGACAGGAUCUUGGUGUAGUUGCACAUCUUCCGCACUUCGCACUGGAUGGCUUCGAUCUCCCGCCGCUUGAAUCUCUUCUUCAGGGAGGAGCCGACUGCGGGAGGGGAAGAGAUAAGAAAUUGAGCACAGGAUGCAAGGUGCCUUCAACUCAGCCUCUUCACUGACAGCUAGCAUUCUACUUGGCUAUAAAGAUUAUAGAGAAUUAAUGCUAUGGGUAUGUCUCCGUGCCCAAGAUGCAUUAUUCCUCUUUAUUAAAAUAAAAACAAACAUUUCUCAAAUAUUCA
This 1098-nucleotide long non-coding RNA is filed under the name Pan troglodytes (chimpanzee). RNAcentral describes it as "long non-coding RNA NONPTRT007761". Lineage: Eukaryota; Metazoa; Chordata; Mammalia; Primates; Hominidae. The record is from RNAcentral.